GAGCAUCGCCGGUUCUCAGGGAGGGCGCGGUAGGCGGAGCCAGCAGAGUCCGUCACCGCUGCGGUCGCGUCACUGCCGAGGGGGCGGGCCCCGGGCGGCGUUGGGGUCACGGAGGCUGCUGCUGCUCCCGCCCUCCCGUCGGGCCCCCGCAUCGACUCACAGUCUCCCGCUUUGCGUUUCUCUCCCGGCUGCAUCCGGACGAAGAUGGCAACCGAUGGGCUGCACGAGAACGAGACGCUGGCGUCGCUGAAGAGCGAGGCCGAGAGCCUCAAGGGCAAGCUAGAGGAGGAGCGGGCAAAGCUGCAUGACGUGGAGCAUAUCCCUGCUUCCAGUUGGGAACUCUGAUCCUGCAUCAAGGCUGAACCCUGACAAGUGUGCCUUGUGAGGAGUGUCUCUGAGGGGACAGUGGUGGGCUGUCUAUGGAGUGAUCACUCAGCAUUUCCAGGCCCUGUAGCAAGAGCGCUGAGCUCUGACAGCACUUUAGAAUGUACAAGACCUUUUACCGCUGAGUACACCAGGUGGCCGAGCGGGUGGAGGCCCUGGGCCAGUUUGUCAUGAAGACCAGAAGGACCCUCAAAGGCCACGGGAACAAAGUCCUGUGCAUGGAUUGGUGCAAAGACAAGCGGAGAAUCGUGAGCUCCUCACAGGAUGGGAAGGUGAUUGUCUGGGAUUCCUUCACUACGAACAAGGAGCACGCGGUCACCAUGCCUUGCACCUGGGUGAUGGCGUGUGCUUACGCGCCAUCGGGAUGCGCCAUUGCUUGUGGUGGUCUGGAUAAUAAGUGCUCUGUGUAUCCACUGACAUUCGACAAGAACGAGAACAUGGCCGCCAAGAAGAAGUCUGUUGCUAUGCACACCAACUACCUGUCUGCCUGCAGCUUCACCAACUCUGACAUGCAGAUUCUGACAGCCAGCGGGGAUGGCACCUGCGCCCUGUGGGAUGUGGAAAGUGGACAGCUGUUACAGAGCUUCCAUGGGCACGGGGCUGACGUCCUCUGCUUGGACCUGGCCCCCUCGGAAACAGGAAACACCUUCGUGUCUGGGGGUUGUGACAAGAAGGCCAUGGUGUGGGACAUGCGCUCUGGCCAGUGCGUGCAAGCCUUUGAAACUCAUGAAUCGGAUGUCAACAGUGUUCGGUACUACCCCAGUGGGGAUGCUUUUGCUUCGGGGUCGGAUGAUGCCACGUGUCGCCUCUAUGACCUGAGGGCAGAUAGAGAGGUCGCCAUCUACUCCAAGGAGAGCAUCAUAUUUGGCGCCUCGAGUGUGGACUUCUCCCUCAGUGGUCGCCUGCUUUUUGCUGGGUACAAUGACUAUACCAUCAAUGUCUGGGAUGUUCUCAAGGGCUCCCGGGUCUCCAUCCUGUUUGGACAUGAAAACCGCGUCAGCACUCUGCGAGUGUCUCCUGAUGGGACAGCAUUCUGCUCGGGAUCAUGGGAUCACACCCUAAGAGUUUGGGCAUAAUCUUCUGACAGCGUUCAAGAAUGUGUGUCCUCUCGUGUAGAUAUGACUUCUCCAUGAGCCCAGGGCUUCCCACAGGUUAGCUUAUGGGAGCAACCUCACAGCUCGGCACUCACUCACCCCGUCCAGUGUCUCCAUGAAAUCUGCCCCCUCCCUGGAAACACUCGGAUAGGCCGUGGCACUUCAACUGGACCUUCAAGCCCUUCUGUCAUCUCAAAAACUCUGCUAAGUUCUGUCUGUUUUUGAAAUUAUUCCAGCCAAUGGAAUUUCACAUUUAUCAGCAUUUAAAAUGUCCCUCGUUGUUUCCUUGGAUCUAGUCUGUCUUCAGAGCACUUUAAACUGUACCUUUUCUUGGCGUGGACUGUGGCUUCUAGAACCAUCCUUGGGAUGUGCCGGUUAUGUGGACUGUAAGAAAGAAUGUUCACUGGUCUGUAAUAGAAGGAAAUUCUAUUUCCAGAUGUAACUACACAGAACCACUUUUUAAAACUGUUUUUAGGUAAAAUUAUCUUUUUUCAACCUGUUCAGUUGUCUUUUUUAAGAUAAUGUUUGGUUUUGUUUUGGGGGAUGAGGGUCUGGGGGAGUCUUUAGAAAUGAAACGGACACAUGCAGAAAACAGAAAAAAAAAACUGUAUAAUUCACUUGUGAUCGAUGGCAGUCUAGGCUGAGCAUCCCCGACACUUGAGGGCAAAACAGGUUGCCAUUCCUAGCACAAAUACUGCAGAGAGCAAACAGAACCUUCUGGCAUGGGAAGACAGGCCACUAAACUGAUUUAAAAGCCUGCUAGUAGUGUUAUCAGAAAUGCCUAAGAUAAACUGUGUGUUGUCCCUAUAAAUUAUAUUCGAAUGUCCUGCACAGCAGUUGUACUGACACAGACUGGUGGGCAGGCCAUGAAUAAUAAUAAUGUCUUUGUUAUCCAAGGGGUAUCUUGUCUUUAUUUGAAUCAUAAAUUCCUUCUAGAUGCG
This is an RNA transcript of Mus musculus (house mouse), 2419 nucleotides long. It is a transcript of the gene named guanine nucleotide binding protein (G protein), beta 5, with no coding region annotated. The record is from RefSeq and is marked validated. Lineage: Eukaryota; Metazoa; Chordata; Mammalia; Rodentia; Muridae. The transcript is spliced from 12 exons.